GGGGGUGUGGCUCAGUUGGUAGAGCAAUGCGUUCGCAACGCAUAGGCCAGGGGUUCGAAUCCCCUCAUCUCCACCA
This 76-nucleotide transfer RNA is filed under the name Clostridia bacterium. Its description in RNAcentral is "tRNA-Ala". It matches the Rfam family "tRNA". Rfam says of the family: Transfer RNA (tRNA) molecules are approximately 80 nucleotides in length. Lineage: Bacteria; Bacillati; Bacillota; Clostridia. The record is from RNAcentral.